GACGAAGGAUGCAAGCGUUAUCCGGAUUCAUUGGGUUUAAAGGGAGCGUAGGCGGACUUGUAAGUCAGUGGUGAAAUCUGUGGGCUUAACCCACAAACUGCCAUUGAUACUGCAGGUCUAGAGUACAGUUGCCGUUGGCGGAAUAUGACAUGUAGUGGUGAAAUACUUAGAUAUGUCAUAGAACACCGAUUGCGAAGGCAGCUAACGAAGCUCUAACUGACACUGAUGCACGAAAGUGUGGGGAUCAAACAGG
RNAcentral lists this ribosomal RNA (253 nucleotides) under uncultured bacterium. RNAcentral describes it as "partial 16S ribosomal RNA". It matches the Rfam family "Bacterial small subunit ribosomal RNA", at positions 524 to 776 of the family's 1533-position model. The record is from RNAcentral.